CUACGGGCGGCUCCAGUGGGGAAUAUUGCACAAUGGGCGCAAGCCUGAUGCAGCCAUGCCGCGUGUAUGAAGAAGGCCUUCGGGUUGUAAAGUACUUUCAGCGGGGAGGAAGGGAGUAAAGUUAAUACCUUUGCUCAUUGACGUUACCCGCAGAAGAAGCACCGGCUAACUCCGUGCCAGCAGCCGCGGUAAUACGGAGGGUGCAAGCGUUAAUCGGAAUUACUGGGCGUAAAGCGCACGCAGGCGGUUUGUUAAGUCAGAUGUGAAAUCCCCGGGCUCAACCUGGGAACUGCAUCUGAUACUGGCAAGCUUGAGUCUCGUAGAGGGGGGUAGAAUUCCAGGUGUAGCGGUGAAAUGCGUAGAGGUCUGGAGGAAUACCGGUGGCGAAGGCGGCCCCCUGGACGAAGACUGACGCUCAGGUGCGAAAGCGUGGGGAGCAAACAGGAUUAGAUACCCUUGUAGUC
This 464-nucleotide ribosomal RNA is filed under the name uncultured bacterium. RNAcentral's name for it is "partial 16S ribosomal RNA". It matches the Rfam family "Bacterial small subunit ribosomal RNA", at positions 339 to 795 of the family's 1533-position model. The record is from RNAcentral.